Molecule: long non-coding RNA, 497 nt
Organism: Cygnus olor (mute swan)
Lineage: Eukaryota; Metazoa; Chordata; Aves; Anseriformes; Anatidae
Exons: 3
Source: RefSeq, a predicted model, not a curated record
GGAGCAAUCUCAUCUCUCUGUUCUUGUUUCAAGCAAGCUGGCAAAUGCUGUUUGAAAUAGCACAGUAUUUCCAACAUAUGUAGUUGUGAUCAGGCAUGUCAUGGUUGACAAGCUCUUGUAGUCCUCCAGUCACAUCAAUAAUGGUGACCGCCACCUCUCUUUUCCACUCUGGGCCUUCAAAAGCUGUCAUUGAUGGGUUAUCCAGCUUGACAGAUGCAGAACUGAACUGGGCAGUUAUGGUUGCACGCAAAAGGCUGGAUACCAAAGUGACAAGGGAUACAAACUGUCACAGAGUUCUAUUUCUUGUGCACAAUGAAUAAAUAUAUAUAUAUACUGAACUUUCCAUUAAUUGUAAAGCUGAGGAGGCUGAAGAGACAGCUAUAUGCAGCAGACAGCAGGAACAGCAGGACGGAAUUUCCAGCAGAAACAGAACAGAAAGAAAGAAAGAUCCAACAGUGCUGUGGGGAAAUGCUGAGUUCAAGAAACUGCUGCAGACA